UAUACGUAUGCUAUUUGUGACGUAAACACAUAUACGUAUGCUAUUUGUGACGUAAACACACACGUAAAAUAUUUAUGCUUGAAACGUCACAGCUACUCCCGCUGUACACUGUGAAGUUCUGCUUAAGAGGAAUUCGAAUAGCUUUCGGAUAGGUUACAUCACAUCAUCUUUCAGCAGAGCGUGACCUCCCAAGGCCAAGGAAAAGGUUGACAGAGCUCAUGAUAAAAACAUUGAAAAUGGAGGAUGGUGGACAGGAAGUAAGCAAGCAAUGGGGAUUCCGUUUCCUACGAAGUCCUGUGAAGGUGCUCCCAGGGGCUGAUGGGAAAAGAGUUGCAGGAAUUCGUUUGGCUGUUAACAAGCUUGAGGGCUCAGGGGAGGGGGCUCAGGCAAUACCCACAGGCCAUACAGAGGACCUGGAGUGUGGGAUGGUUAUCUGCAGUAUUGGCUACAAGA
This is a non-coding RNA of Electrophorus electricus (electric eel), 453 nucleotides long. Lineage: Eukaryota; Metazoa; Chordata; Actinopteri; Gymnotiformes; Gymnotidae. The record is from RefSeq and is a predicted model, not a curated record.